CUGGCCCUGAAUCAAGGCCAGCCGCUUUCUGACACUGUUGGUUUCAAGGAGGAGCCUAAAGAGAUGUCUUUCUAUGGUCGGUUGGCCAUUUCAGAACUUGGGCAGUGCAAUGUUCAUUUCAUUAGAAAGAAACAGUU
This is a small nucleolar RNA of Cavia aperea (Brazilian guinea pig), 137 nucleotides long. Lineage: Eukaryota; Metazoa; Chordata; Mammalia; Rodentia; Caviidae. The record is from Ensembl.